AUUGAACGCUGGCGGCAGGCCUAACACAUGCAAGUCGAACGGUAGCACAGAGGAGCUUGCUCCUUGGGUGACGAGUGGCGGACGGGUGAGUAAUGUCUGGGAAACUGCCCGAUGGAGGGGGAUAACUACUGGAAACGGUAGCUAAUACCGCAUAACGUCGCAAGACCAAAGAGGGGGACCUUCGGGCCUCUUGCCAUCGGAUGUGCCCAGAUGGGAUUAGCUAGUAGGUGGGGUAACGGCUCACCUAGGCGACGAUCCCUAGCUGGUCUGAGAGGAUGACCAGCCACACUGGAACUGAGACACGGUCCAGACUCCUACGGGAGGCAGCAGUGGGGAAUAUUGCACAAUGGGCGCAAGCCUGAUGCAGCCAUGCCGCGUGUAUGAAGAAGGCCUUCGGGUUGUAAAGUACUUUCAGCGAGGAGGAAGGCGUUGUGGUUAAUAACCGCAACGAUUGACGUUACUCGCAGAAGAAGCACCGGCUAACUCCGUGCCAGUCGCCGCGGUA
This 505-nucleotide ribosomal RNA is filed under the name uncultured Enterobacterales bacterium. Its description in RNAcentral is "bacterial SSU rRNA". It matches the Rfam family "Bacterial small subunit ribosomal RNA", at positions 30 to 522 of the family's 1533-position model. The record is from RNAcentral. Lineage: Bacteria; Pseudomonadati; Pseudomonadota; Gammaproteobacteria; Enterobacterales.